GGAAAAUCAGGUAAGCGAACUGGUUGCACUUGUCGGGCAGUUAACAGGAAGCGAACAUUGAUAUCCUUCAAGCCCUGAAGGAGGCUGUUCCUGGUACGUUCAGACUGUUGUUGAGCUGGAAAUCGCAACGGAGGAAGAAACCUUGUUGCUGGAAGUCUGGAAGAAGUAUCGGGUGUUGCUGAACCGUGUUGAUACAUCAAC
This 201-nucleotide unclassified non-coding RNA is filed under the name Escherichia coli. Its description in RNAcentral is "IS009". Lineage: Bacteria; Pseudomonadati; Pseudomonadota; Gammaproteobacteria; Enterobacterales; Enterobacteriaceae. The record is from RNAcentral.